This 507-nucleotide ribosomal RNA is filed under the name uncultured bacterium. RNAcentral describes it as "partial 16S ribosomal RNA". It matches the Rfam family "Bacterial small subunit ribosomal RNA", at positions 30 to 523 of the family's 1533-position model. The record is from RNAcentral.
AUCGAACGCUGGCGGCAUGCCUAACACAUGCAGGUCGAACGGCAGCAUGAAAUGGGGUAACCCAUUUUGAUGGCGAGUGGCGGACGGGUGAGUAAUAUGUAGGAAUCUACCUAGAGGUGCGGGAUAACUUAGGGAAACUUAAGCUAAUACCACAUAAGCCCUACGGGGGAAAGCAGGGGACCGCAAGGCCUUGCGCCUUAUGAUGAGCCUACAUCGGAUUAGCUUGUUGGGGGGGUAAAGGCCUACCAAGGGGACGAUCCGUAGCUGGUCUGAGAGGAUGAUCAGCCACACUGGGACUGAGACACGGCCCAGACUCCUACGGGAGGCAGCAGUGGGGAAUAUUGGACAAUGGGCGCAAGCCUGAUCCAGCAAGCCGCGUGUGUGAAGAAGGCCUUAGGGUUGUAAAGCACUUUCAGUGGGGAGGAAGUUGAGUUUGCUAAUACCAGAUUCAAUUGACGUUACCCACAGAAGAAGCACCGGCUAACUCUGUGCCAGCAGCCGCCGCCG